Molecule: long non-coding RNA, 335 nt
Filed under: Gallus gallus (chicken)
Lineage: Eukaryota; Metazoa; Chordata; Aves; Galliformes; Phasianidae
Source: RNAcentral
CCUUCCGUAGGGGAUGCAGUGUAUUUAGCUUACAUUGGACACGUCAUUUCUCACACAAUUCCUGCAAGAAAACAGUCUGCCUGCAAGAUAAAGCAAAGAAGAAUAACAGAAUUUAAAGUAAUUAAACAGAACUACCAGAAAUUUUCCUGUCAGUCUCCAUAAGUUUUCAUUCCUAUUUAAGAAGUUGAGUGGCUCAGAGGUUUAGCUACAAGCUCUAAAUGACUACCCCAGAAGCAGGGAGCAUUUGAAAUAAAUGGAACAGCUGUCUGUAUCGCCUCAGCUAUAAAAGGGACUGUAUUUCCAUAAAGAAACAAAAAUAAUGAAGUAUUUUCUCG